Molecule: ribosomal RNA, 529 nt
Filed under: uncultured Ralstonia sp.
Lineage: Bacteria; Pseudomonadati; Pseudomonadota; Betaproteobacteria; Burkholderiales; Burkholderiaceae
Description: bacterial SSU rRNA
Rfam family: Bacterial small subunit ribosomal RNA
Source: RNAcentral
AGAGUUUGAUCCUGGCUCAGAUUGAACGCUGGCGGCAUGCCUUACACAUGCAAGUCGAACGGCAGCAUGAUCUAGCUUGCUAGAUUGAUGGCGAGUGGCGAACGGGUGAGUAAUACAUCGGAACGUGCCCUGUAGUGGGGGAUAACUAGUCGAAAGAUUAGCUAACACCGCAUACGACCUGAGGGUGAAAGUGGGGGACCGCAAGGCCUCAUGCUAUAGGAGCGGCCGAUGUCUGAUUAGCUAGUUGGUGGGGUAAAGGCCCACCAAGGCGACGAUCAGUAGCUGGUCUGAGAGGACGAUCAGCCACACUGGGACUGAGACACGGCCCAGACUCCUACGGGAGGCAGCAGUGGGGAAUUUUGGACAAUGGGCGAAAGCCUGAUCCAGCAAUGCCGCGUGUGUGAAGAAGGCCUUCGGGUUGUAAAGCACUUUUGUCCGGAAAGAAAUGGCUCUGGUUAAUACCUGGGGUCGAUGACGGUACCGGAAGAAUAAGGACCGGCUGACCACGUGCCAGCAGCCGCGGUAAUAC